AAGCAGAAUAAAAAAGCACGAAGAGAAAAGCAUAAAAUAAGUAGACAAGAUAUUUACAAGCAUCAUAAGAUACUGCUUUCCUUCUUCAGAUGAAUUCCAGGUCUGCAUUUGAGUCAUGUUAAUCCAAUUCCCUGAUACUGAACCAUACUGCUGUUUCUAAAUGGUUUUUUGGGAGACGUUUUACUAUUAUAUUGGGUUCUUUUUAUAUAUAAAUACUCUGAAUCCAGAGCUUUGUUGGAUUUUCAUUAGUGCAUGAUUGUACUAGACGUUCCAUUCCAUUGUCUUUCGUUACCUCUUUUCUAGAGAAGUACAGAACAGCAUCUCCGAUACUCAGGUAACAUCUAAUUAGUUCAAUAUUUACUGAUGUAUUGAUCAAGUCAGACCUUUUAAAUAGGAGCAAAAUGUUGACGUAUAGCUAAAAAUGGACUAAGGAACAGGAGGAAAUGUUAACUAUUUUAUUUGUUUAUACUGUUGUUAAAGAAUUAAUGAACUAUUUUAACACUUUUGAUACUGUAUUUACCUCUUGCUAUAUUCUGUUCUGGUGAUAGAAUUUUAAAUUGCUUCUUACUGUGUAGUAAUUUUUGCUAAAAAUAAUUAUAUUUCAUGUUGUGUCUUACUGUGGGAUGAAAGUACACUGUGUUUUUCUAGAAUCCCCAUAACAUUAUUUUAAUAUUCCUAUCUACUUUCACCACUGAAGUUUUCCCAAGUAGGAUGAAUUCAUAAAUUCUCCAAUGUAACUCCUCACUCCUGAUUUCACUGAAAGUCCUAGUUGCAGUUUCUCACUCUUCACUUCAUAAAAUAUUUAAAAGAAUGAUUCUUGGUGGCCGCUUUUGUUAUUACCUUGGAAGAAGGGAUCUGGCAGGGAGGUUUUAAGUUAUUCUUCCUUCCAGUUUGGUUCCUUUCUAAAAACUGGCUUCCAAUUGUCAGUUUCCGGUCCUCUGACUCUUGAGUUUGAUUUGAGGAACGAAACAAUGAUAUCAAAUUUUAACUAACUUUAAGUAUGUUUCUUAUAAUUUAAAAACUAGAUUACACACACAAGAAAACUCUCAGUGGAUGUUUAAAAAGGUUGGCUAUCAUCCUAUUUAUCUGAAAGUAUUAUACAAUACAUAUGAAAAAAUGUUACUGUACAUGCAUUGGUCUUGUCCACCAUUAGCUUUUGGGAUAUACAUUAUUACUGUAGUGAACCAGGUCAUAGGGAGGAAAUUAAUAUUCAAAGAUGUUAAAGUGUUGUUGAAUUAUGUCACCGAAUUUGAAACUGGUCUGUUUGUGAAGACUUUGGAUGUCUUCAACUGUUGCAAAGAAAGAAAAAAGGUAAUUGUGUUUUCUUGGAAGGACACAUGUAUAUCAACUAAAUCUCCUAACUCUCAGUCUUUAAAUUAGUUCUUU
Non-coding RNA from Python bivittatus (Burmese python), 1386 nucleotides. The record is from RefSeq and is a predicted model, not a curated record. Lineage: Eukaryota; Metazoa; Chordata; Lepidosauria; Squamata; Pythonidae.